UCCUACGGGAGGCAGCAGUGGGGAAUAUUGCACAAUGGGGGAAACCCUGAUGCAGCGACGCCGCGUGAGUGAAGAAGUAUUUCGGUAUGUAAAGCUCUAUCAGCAGGGAAGAUAAUGACGGUACCUGACUAAGAAGCCCCGGCUAACUACGUGCCAGCAGCCGCGGUAAUACGUAGGGGGCAAGCGUUAUCCGGAUUUACUGGGUGUAAAGGGAGCGUAGACGGGUAUAUAAGUUAGUUGUGAAAUCCCUCGGCUCAACUGAGGAACUGCAACUAAAACUGUAAAUCUUGAGUGCGGGAGAGGAA
Molecule: ribosomal RNA, 305 nt
Filed under: uncultured bacterium
Lineage: Bacteria
Description: bacterial SSU rRNA
Rfam family: Bacterial small subunit ribosomal RNA
Source: RNAcentral